GGACAUUUGGCCUGAAUGUUUGGAAAAGGCUCCAGGAUGUCCAGAUGGUUAGUGAUUAUAAUCUAAGAAAAAGCGUAAAGGAGGAUGACGACUCCAUAGAUGCUUCCCAGGCCUUCACUGAGCUGCAGUGAGCCAAGUCCUGGGAGCAGCGUACACGUCCAAGCGGCAGCCUCCAAGUCCCAAACUCCUGUUCACCAAUGUGCAGUACGCCUGGGUGAAGUACCAGAUCGCUCCUCAGAUCUACCAAAUGCUGCACUUCAAUGAACUGGCACCCACCCACCCGCCUGACUUGAUGAAGCACAAGGUGCUAAGCAGCAGGGCCGGCUCCUCCACCUGGAGACCCACACCUUCCAGAAGGACCUGGAUCCUGAUAGGGAGACGGCACCCAGCACCACUGCCAGCACGCCCACUGCCUCCUCCACGUACACCUCAUUGUCCCAGUCAGCCCCAGCCUCUGGGUUCCCGGGGUCCAACCUGUCCACCUCCCUGGGGCCGCAGUCCCCCCAGGUGUCCAGGUACAUCGUGCAGAGGUCAGCGACCCCCAUGCCUGUCAGCUCCUCCCCAAAGCAGCUCUCACGGCCUCUGAAGACCCCUCCUCUGUCCUCCGUGAAGAAGAGCUCCCGCAUCAGGUUCUGAGGUGGCCCGUCCUUCUCCCCUGUCCUCCAGCAGGUGCCCAGGCCAGGGGGGCCUGGCUGUCCCUGGCUUACCCCUGCCAGGCCCAGGGAUAUAGGCCUCCUGGCUGUCUCUGCCCGGCCUGGCUGGUGAAGCUGACCUUCUUCCUCACCAGGGACUUGGAGAAGGAAAUAAAUGUUCUCAGAUGUUGGAGUCCCACAGGCCCUGAGUUGGGCUGUGUGUCCCUUGUGCCCUUAGGUGCCAGGCUAUGUCUCUGAGAUCGUGUCAUACUCCCCCUGUGAGGCCCUGGGCAAGCGCAGGGGGAGAGGCCUGCCCCCAGGAGGCAGGUGCAGCUGUCUGGCAGGGGCUGUGGGUGAUGCCGCUGGGUGAGCUGUUUGGCUCUGAAAAGUGGUUCACCCUCAAGGCAAGAGUGAGGCCCAGCAGUCAUCUGGAGGUAAUAGUGGCUGUUUGUCUCCUACUCCUGCUGUGUGUCUGUCCUCCUCCACCACCAAGUGUUGCAGUCGGGGUCCGUGAAAAUGAGAAACUGAGUCAGAAUGACGUUUAAUGCAGAGGGCUUAGGCUCCCUUGGAGACUAAGCACCAAGCCAGGGCUUCCCUGUGCUUUUAUUAAGCUACAGCAAGUAAAAAGACAAGCAUCACUUAAUGAUUAUAGGAUGAGUUUUUUCAUCAAGCUAAAUAAUUGCAAACUAAUCACCUCUUAAAGUUCCUCUUCUGUCUUGUCAAGUCAUCCGCCACGUGAGUCUCACGGUGUGCUCCUUAUCUGGGUUUACCUCGGAAAGGACAACGGGAACUGUUUGCAGUCCUUGUGUUUUGCACUUUGCAUUUUACCUUUUUCUGGCUUUAUUGAGAUAUACUUGACAUAUAACAUUGUAUGAGUUUAAGGUAUACAGCAUGAUAAUUUGAUAUAUACUGCAAAAUGAUUACCAAAAUAGGAUUAGUUAACACCUUGAUCACUUUUCAUAAUUACCAUUUCCUUUUUGUGGUGAGAACAUUUAAGAUUUCAGCAAUUUUCAUGUACAUAAUAUUGUUAACUAUAGUCACCAUGCUAUACAUUAUAUCUCCCAAACUAAUUCAUCUUGUAAGUGAAGGUUUGUACCCUUUGACCAAUCUCUCUCAAUUUCCUCCAUUUCCAGUCCCUAGGAACCACCAUUCUGUUCUCUGCCUAUGAGUUUGGCUUUUGGUGCAUUUUAUUUUAGGAUUGUUAUGUUUUCUUGGUUUGGGGUUCACUCAGCUUUUUAAAUCUAUAGGUUUACAUGGUUUGCCAAAUUUGGGUAGUUUUCAGCUAUUUCUUUAAGUAUGUUUUCUAUACUACACUCUUUCUCUUCUCCAGGGAUUCUAAUGACAUUAAUGUAUUUCGGAAUUGUCCCACAGGCCCCUGAAGUUCUGUUCACUUUUUCAUCUAUUGUUUCUUUGUUCAAGUUGUAUAAUUUUCAUUGUUCUAUCUUCAAGUUCAUUGCUUCUUUCCUGUCAUCUCUGUUCUGCCCAUGUCCAUCCAGUAAGUUUAUUUCUGUUACUGUAUUUUUUAGUUCUAAGAUUUCCAUGUGAUUUUUCUUUGUAUCUUGUUUCUCUGCUUAAGCUUACUAUUUUUCUGUUUCAAGAGUGUUUAGUUUCUUGAAGUUUUUCUUUUUGAGAUAACUGCUUUAAAAUCCUUGUCAUAUAAUCCCAACAUCUGUGUUAUCUUGAUGUUGGCAUCUGUUGAUUGCCCUUUCUCAUUUCAGUUCAGGCUUUUUCUGACUUUCUGUAUGACAGUAUUUGAUUUUACCCUGCACUUUGGGGUAUUAUGAUAUGAAAUUCUGGCUCUUUUAAAAACCUUCUCUUUUACCAAGCAUUCAGCCAGUUUAGCUCGGAAUUCACAUCUGGCUCACUUCUGUGGUCUGAGUUUGAAUGUCAGUUUAGUGUCAAAUUCGGUGCUAUUUUGGUGUGCCCUGCUUGUGUGUUACUCAAAGGCCAACCUAAACUGUGUAGUAUUCCACAUUAUAGUGUAUAGUUCAGUUCUCAAAACUUUCACUAUGUUAAUUCUGGUGUGUCUGACAAAUAGGUCACUUGGUUGUGUGCCCUGGAUUUCAUACACGAAUUGAAAGACUCUCUGCAGCUUCUUCAUCUCUGUAACCCUCCCCAUACACUUUAGCUGUAAGGGGGUGGGUGAUGCCUCUUUGCUACCUUUGAUUAGUGCAGGACAAGGAUAUUGACAGGGCCCUACUCUGCGGUCUUCAUAGUAUUCCAUGCUGUGGAAGAGGAAGAGGGAGAAGAAGUGGUCGCAUGCGUACAGGGCAGGGCUAACUGACAGAGCUCAUUAUCAGUCAUCCCUGGUGGAGGGAGAGGGCCAUCCACACAUUAGUGCACAGCAGAGAUGGUGGACAAGCUCUACACCAACGUCUCACCAGAGCGGGGAGAGGGAGCGAUGUGGCUUAUAUCAUAGUGUUUGCCCAGAGAAGAGCAAGUAUUGUCAAAUGGUCUUUCCUUCAUUGCUGUCCUUCCCAGUUCUCUGACCCAAGAAAGCAGGCUUUCCUUGAGACUUUGUCUGUGCUUGGUGGUGGUUUUGGGUUCUGACCUCCU
Long non-coding RNA from Manis pentadactyla (Chinese pangolin), 3188 nucleotides. RefSeq lists it as uncharacterized. Lineage: Eukaryota; Metazoa; Chordata; Mammalia; Pholidota; Manidae. The record is from RefSeq and is a predicted model, not a curated record. The transcript has 3 exons.